AUGGCUCAUCGAAGCACAAGACUACAUUUCCCCAUAAGAGAGGCUACCAAGGAUAAACAACUAGGUUGUCGGAUCCCACAUAUACCAAACAUUUCAAUCAUACACACAAUAUGCUCAAUAUGUGCAAUACAACAUGGCAUCACAACAAGACUCUACGACUCAGAGUAUUUAUUCAUUAGGCUCCGAGGAGCGAGAUAUUACAAACAUGGGUCUCAUGACCCAACAUUCAAAGCAUACAAGUCAAAGCACAUGCGGAAGCUUAACUUGUCUGAGUACAGACAACUAAAAAUGAAGAAGGCCGAGGAGCAUGACUAUCUACAAGACCCUCCCAAGGGUACAAGAUCGUAG
This 348-nucleotide ribosomal RNA is filed under the name Triticum aestivum (bread wheat). RNAcentral describes it as "partial small subunit ribosomal RNA". The record is from RNAcentral. Lineage: Eukaryota; Viridiplantae; Streptophyta; Magnoliopsida; Poales; Poaceae.